This 404-nucleotide ribosomal RNA is filed under the name uncultured bacterium. RNAcentral describes it as "bacterial SSU rRNA". It matches the Rfam family "Bacterial small subunit ribosomal RNA", at positions 355 to 776 of the family's 1533-position model. The record is from RNAcentral.
UGGGGAAUAUUGGACAAUGGGCGCAAGCCUGAUCCAGCCAUGCCGCGUGUGUGAUGAAGGCCUUAGGGUUGUAAAGCACUUUCGCCGAUGAAGAUAAUGACGGUAGUCGGAGAAGAAGCCCCGGCUAACUUCGUGCCAGCAGCCGCGGUAAUACGAAGGGGGCAAGCGUUGUUCGGAUUUACUGGGCGUAAAGCGUACGUAGGCGGAUGAUUAAGUCAGGGGUGAAAUCCCGGGGCUCAACCUCGGAACUGCCUUUGAUACUGGUCGUCUUGAGUCCGGGAGAGGUGAGUGGAACUCCUAGUGUAGAGGUGAAAUUCGUAGAUAUUAGGAAGAACACCAGUGGCGAAGGCGGCUCACUGGCCCGGAACUGACGCUGAGGUACGAAAGCGUGGGGAGCAAACAGG